UAAAGGGAGACCUAGCCCCUCUAAUUUGAAAGACGUCUAAUUGUUGAUAAGCAGUUAGGUCUGCCUUAUUUUCAAUAGUCAUUGAGUAAGAGAAGAGAGAGGUCACUCAAAGGUCGAGCCGGUAUUUAGUGGACUUCUAAACUAUUGAUUAGUUCGGAUUUCUAUUCCGAAAUGCGGGCUAUUAGCUCAGGUGGUUAGAGCGCACCCCUGAUAAGGGUGAGGUCCCUGGUUCGAGUCCAGGAUGGCCCACCUAACCUAUUAAAUUAGACUAGGGGGUUUAGCUCAGUUGGUAGAGCGCCUGCUUUGCAAGCAGGAUGUCAGCGGUUCGAGUCCGCUAACCUCCACUGAAUUGCUACUCUCAAGCGAGUAAGAAGUUCAGCAACUAAUUCAGCAACUCGUUUAGACGCUCUCUAAGCAGCCUGCUGGAUUGAUCCAGUCAGAACCUUGAAAACUGCAUAAUAACUUGUCAGGUAGUAGAACCGAAACCUUAGGUGAAGGGUGAAAGCUCAUCAGCCUAAAGUUAAGGAAAUACACAGACAUCAAUAUUUGCCAAGAAUUAGU
This 561-nucleotide transfer RNA is filed under the name Leptolyngbyaceae cyanobacterium HA4303-MV8. RNAcentral describes it as "16S-23S ribosomal RNA intergenic spacer". The stretch from base 272 to 344 matches the Rfam family "tRNA". The record is from RNAcentral. Lineage: Bacteria; Bacillati; Cyanobacteriota; Cyanophyceae; Leptolyngbyales; Leptolyngbyaceae.